Molecule: long non-coding RNA, 1109 nt
Organism: Pseudophryne corroboree (corroboree frog)
Lineage: Eukaryota; Metazoa; Chordata; Amphibia; Anura; Myobatrachidae
Exons: 6
Source: RefSeq, a predicted model, not a curated record
UACUUAUCUCUUACCAGUAUGGUCCCUGGGACCGUCAUGUUUCCCAUCAGGUGACAAGGUGCUUGCUGUAUUUUCAUGUGUCUUCAAGGUGUCUCGGAGUUCGACAUUCUCCUGCAUCAAUCCAACCAUUUUUCGAAGCUCGGCAUUCUGAGUCAGCAGACAGAAAGUUUUGCACUUCAAAACCUCCAUGGUUUUUUUCUUACAGAUGAUUUCUUAGGCUUUCUCUACCUCUUGUCACUCCACUGGGAAAUGCUGCUGCUGCUUCCUGCGCUGGAUCCUAUAAACUGCCUCCAACUGCAACCAACUGCCCUGCGUGAGCUCACCCACUGUGCUGUGACAUACAGUAUGAGUGAUAUCGGGAUGUAGCUAUGUGACCGGCGGUCGGGAGACUGCCGGUCACAUUACCGACGGCUACAUCCCGCCACCCUCUAAAUCCCGAAGAUUGGCACGUCGACUAGCAGGGACUAUUCCUACUCAUGGGUGUCCACAAUACCCAUAGAGUGGGAAGAGAACGUGGCGAGCAGGCUUGUGCUUACCCCCCCCCCCCCUUACCCCCUGUGCCCGGGAUCCCACCGCCUGGAUCCCACAGCCGGUCUCUGAUCAUUCCUGGCCGUAGGAGGAAAUAGUCGCAGACUUACAUCAGGACAAACAUCCUUCCUGAGCCCAAGCACCAUUGUUAGCAGAGGUGAAUGUCACGUGUUCUUUGUUGCUAUUUGACCUCUUGUCCCAGUAAAAGCUCUGGCAUAGACACAUCUUCUGUAUCAAUUUCCCAUUCACAUGAGAGAACCCGGAUAGAUCCUGUAUAAGGCAACCAUGGGAGGAUUUUGACUAGGAUGAUGUAAGGAUCUUCAAGAAAUGGCAAGCGAUAUUCAGCAUCUCAAAUAAAAGAUUUCCUUAUUACCAACAGCUGGUCCAUCAUUCAAAGAACAGCAAGAUACCAAUACACCCCUCCUAACGCAACAUACCAAAAUGUUACAUUGGAAUUUAUUAGGCUUUCAGAUCUGAACCUCUUAAUGCCCUGACAGGAUUUUGACUAGGAUGAUGUAAGGAUCUUCAAGAAAUGGCAAGCGAUAUUCAGCAUCUCAAAUAAAAGAUUUCCUUAUUACCAA